GGUGCACGGGUGAGUAACGCGUGGCAACCUGAAACUAGGUAUCGGAAUAACAGUGAGAAAUGACAUGCUAAUAGCCGGAUAAUGUCUUCGGACCAAAAAUUUAUCGCCUUUAGGAUGGGCCCGCGCCGCUAUCAGCUAGUUGGUGGGGUAAAGGCCUACCAAGGCGACGAUCCGGUAGCCGGCCUGAGAGGAUGACCAGCCACACUAGGACUGAGACACGGCCCAGACUCCUACGGGAGGCAGCAGUGGAGAAUAUUGCACAAUGGGCGGAUAGCCUGAUGCAGCGACGCCGCGUGAGGGAUGAAGGCCUUACGGUUGUAAACCUCUUU
Molecule: ribosomal RNA, 329 nt
Filed under: uncultured Alphaproteobacteria bacterium
Lineage: Bacteria; Pseudomonadati; Pseudomonadota; Alphaproteobacteria
Description: bacterial SSU rRNA
Rfam family: Bacterial small subunit ribosomal RNA
Source: RNAcentral